Long non-coding RNA from Neofelis nebulosa (Clouded leopard), 440 nucleotides. RefSeq lists it as uncharacterized. NCBI's taxonomy places the organism in Eukaryota, Metazoa, Chordata, Mammalia, Carnivora, Felidae. The transcript has 3 exons. The record is from RefSeq and is a predicted model, not a curated record.
AGACUUCUGGAUUUCUCAAAUUCUUCUGUGAACAGAAGAAGAAUAAAUCAAAGAAGAACUCUUACCUUGGGACUUGAAAAGGGAAAUGAGGAGCAACUAUAAAGUGUCUGUGUCUCAUGACCCUGUCAGAUUCUCAGGGAAAUGAACGUAUACAAGGCUACAGGCCAUCCCAGCAAAAGAGGCAACAGGCUUCUGACUCUUGAGGAAACCUCUGCCCGCCUGCCCUUCUCCCAUUGAUGGGAGGGCUCCUCCAGCACGCCACUAUUUUCUGGACUUUUCAAAGUCAGCAAGUAUGGCUUCCUGCAUCGAGAGGUCUGAGUAGCCAUUUUUCCCAGUGAGAUUGCUUGAGCCAAGCUGGAUGCUGGUUUGUCCCGAGGGAGCGAGUAAAUUGAUGCAGGUCCCAUCUUUGGUUUUCGAAGUUCUGCUGUGGCCAGAGGAAC